Molecule: ribosomal RNA, 253 nt
Filed under: uncultured bacterium
Lineage: Bacteria
Description: partial 16S ribosomal RNA
Rfam family: Bacterial small subunit ribosomal RNA
Source: RNAcentral
UACGUAGGUGGCAAGCGUUGUCCGGAAUUAUUGGGCGUAAAGCGCGCGCAGGCGGUCUUUUAAGUCUGAUGUGAAAUCUCGCGGCUCAACUGCGAGCGGUCAUUGGAAACUGGAGGACUUGAGUACAGAAGAGGAAAGUGGAAUUCCACGUGUAGCGGUGAAAUGCGUAGAGAUGUGGAGGAACACCAGUGGCGAAGGCGGCUUUCUGGUCUGUAACUGACGCUGAGGCGCGAAAGCGUGGGGAGCAAACAGG